AUUGAACGCUGGCGGCAUGCCUUACACAUGCAAGUCGAACGGCAGCGCGGACUUCGGUCUGGCGGCGAGUGGCGAACGGGUGAGUAAUACAUCGGAACGUACCCUGUUGUGGGGGAUAACUAGUCGAAAGAUUAGCUAAUACCGCAUACGACCUGAGGGUGAAAGUGGGGAACCGCAAGGCCUCACGCAGCAGGAGCGGCCGAUGUCUGAUUAGCUAGUUGGUGGGGUAAAGGCCCACCAAGGCGACGAUCAGUAGCUAGUCUGAGAGGACGAUCAGCCACACUGGGACUGAGACACGGCCCAGACUCCUACGGGAGGCAGCAGUGGGGAAUUUUGGACAAUGGGGGCAACCCUGAUCCAGCAAUGCCGCGUGUGUGAAGAAGGCCUUCGGGUUGUAAAGCACUUUUGUCCGGAAAGAAAUCGCGCUGGUUAAUACCUGGCGUGGAUGACGGUACCGGAAGAAUAAGCACCGGCUAACUACGUG
Molecule: ribosomal RNA, 484 nt
Filed under: uncultured bacterium
Lineage: Bacteria
Description: partial 16S ribosomal RNA
Rfam family: Bacterial small subunit ribosomal RNA
Source: RNAcentral